Ictidomys tridecemlineatus (thirteen-lined ground squirrel) is the source of this 437-nucleotide non-coding RNA. The record is from RefSeq and is a predicted model, not a curated record. Lineage: Eukaryota; Metazoa; Chordata; Mammalia; Rodentia; Sciuridae.
CUGGCCCACCGUCUCCCGCAGCAGAAAACGUGUCACAAACUGGUCCACCUUGGAGGCCUGCUCAUACUCCUGGGGGCAGAGAGGAAGUGGACAGCAUCUCUGAGCCCUGAGCAGGGCCCCAGGUCAGAGGGCAGGGCAGAGGCAGCAUGGGCUGUGGCCCCCAGUGGUAACCAGCCCUACCAUGGGAAACAACAGUUCCCACAAGAGGACCAAAGCACCCAAGCAGGCCCACAAGGAGAGGCCACCGGACAUGGACAAGGGCCAGCGGAAACAGUUCUCCAGCCACCUCCAGCGGAAGAAGCCAAGUACCGCAGGCUCAAAACAUACCACUUUCCCCCUCUUCACCUGGGGAGAGGCCCUUGACCAGGCUGAGGUGGGUGAGAGCCCCAGGCAUCAAGGCUGGAGGGGAGGCAGGGAACCCAGCAGUAGGUCGGUCU